AUUUGGCCACAUGUAUUAAUCAGUUUUUGUGCUCCUUUAUUAAUUGAAGGAAAGACUUUUGGAGUUCACAGAUGUAGAUUCUAGGUGAUAAAGACCUAAAGUAUAUGUAAAUUGAAUAAUUGGCUUCGAACAAAUGGGUUAAAAGUACACAUAAAAAUAGAAUUAUUAACUCAAAACUUCAUUGUACUUGAAAACGCAAUCAUAAAGCCGUCCUCCAAGAAACUGAGCAACCUCUGGAUGUUUCACCUGAUUAAAAAAACGGUAGAAAAAUGCAAAAGGAGAGAUUUAUCAUGAAUUUAAUAAAAUCCUACAAAUCAAUAUUCAUUUACUGAUAUUCUCACUAAACAAAAGUAAAAUAACUUAAACAGUUACCAUUCCAAUCUUGAGAGAAUCACACUUAAACUGAGCAUAAAGAUUAGUCUCUAUCGCACGACCCAUUCCUUCCAAUACAACGAGGUCUGCAUCACUAGAUAAAUAAGCUAGCUCUUGUGAAACACUUGUAAGAUCAAUAACUGGCAAAUCAUUUCCAGAAUUGGCAAUCAAAAGAUUAGAGGUAUCGAUGCCCGCUAGCUUUCCAGUUCCAUCCUUCAACUUGGAUAUAAUCUCAAUCAGUUCAGGGUAUGUGACAUCAUUAAUAGAAGGCAAGUCAUUAGCAGCCAACACAACCUGAGUUCCACGUCGAAGUAGCUCCCUUGCAAAGGGCAAAAUACCCAAAAUUAUAUCUGCACCAGAAUUAUCAACAAAGAUGACAGCCUUUUUCCAAGAUUUCUUGCUCCAUUUCACUUUGAAGGUGUCUAAAUCAUCAAUAACCCAAGGUCGAGAGACAAGAUUUUGACAACUAGCCAAAAAGGACAUUCCAUCCCUUGAGAAAACCUCAGCAAGCUGUGCAGAACCAAGGUCAAAUAUAUUUCCUGCAAAUAUUCCUUUAACCAGAUUCUCUAGACGCUUUGUUCCAUCUUCAAUAGCAUCAUUAAGACAAACAACAUCCUCAAAUAGAGAUAUAGCUUUUGCAUUCUCUUCAUCCUUGACUUUUUUGAAUAUGUCUCUAAAUCCCAAUUCUCUUAGUACUUGCUCCCGCAGUCUGCACAGAAGAAUGCAAUCAGGGGGACCACCAUGACUUUCAGGAUCUUUCUUUAAGUCCUCAAGGAUCUCAGAAUACCUUUGAGCAAACUUUUGAGCUUUGGCAGGAGCAUCAGCAACUGUAGUAUCACUUUCAGCACGUUUCUUGAAAGAGGGGAUGGAAUUGUAGAAGAGGUCAAUCCAUUGAAGCUCAGUAGGAGUAGGCUUUCUGGGAUUAUCAGAAGGGAACCUAUAGGGAAUAGUGCAAACUCUGUAGUUGGAUUCGAUCGGCGUCAAUAGCAACGGGAAAGCUACCAUUUCCGAUGUGCUUUCCAUUGUUUUUCUUCUUUGGAUUGCCUUCCUUCUAAUUUGUGCUCUUCUCUGAUUUUUUAUUUCUC
RNAcentral lists this unclassified non-coding RNA (1457 nucleotides) under Hevea brasiliensis (rubber tree). Lineage: Eukaryota; Viridiplantae; Streptophyta; Magnoliopsida; Malpighiales; Euphorbiaceae. The record is from RNAcentral.